RNAcentral lists this long non-coding RNA (1375 nucleotides) under Lupinus angustifolius (narrow-leaved blue lupine). Its description in RNAcentral is "long non-coding RNA (LANG_LNC001973)". Lineage: Eukaryota; Viridiplantae; Streptophyta; Magnoliopsida; Fabales; Fabaceae. The record is from RNAcentral.
AUAUUUUGAUCCUAUGGGGUAUGCUAUACUCUCAAAGGACAAACGAUGCUCACAGUCUGGAAGGUUAUGAUAACCUGCAUAAAGAUUCGCUAAUUAUUGACUGAAAUGAUAUAUGGUAUCCGUUGCAAAUUAAAAGGGACUGUUGACAAAUUAGAAAUUAAUAAGGAAUGACAAAAGGCAGGAGUGUUGCAAACAAACCAAUCAUGUGAUGAAUUCCAAGAGGGAAAGCACUCCUCCAAAAGUUACAUGAUUCUAAAUAAACCCAAAACAACCAGCUAUAAAAACACCACUAUAGAGGCAUCAGAGAGAGGACAAGGGGAAGAACGAAAACAGAGAAUUUAGUGAGGAUAUCACGCACAUACAUUCCGCAAAAAGAGACAUACAACAUAAGCAGAGAUACACACUCGAGGACGCAGAGAGCAUCCCAACAGUGAAAAAACAGAGGGCAUUCAAAAACAUACACACAGACAAGUACCAGAGAACAGUCCAUACACAUUUUACUUAGCAUUACAUAUAGCACAGAGAAUCCAGAAACGAGAACAGAACCGCAGUCUAGAAUACACUUACAGAUCCAGCCAAUAACAUACAACGUCCAUGUCACAAAAAAGAGGGCAACUUGUAAAAUCUCAUAUCACACCAGAGGACAAUUCCAGAAACAUAUCUCACAUACACAAGAAAUAGAUAGGCUGCUGGUCAAGAACACAGAGAUAAAAGUAAUCACAGCAAGGUUAUACACAGGAGCAUUGUCAGGUAAGAAGCGUUUUUUGUUUAGUGACCAAUCUGUGCUUUGAACUUAGACGAUAAAUUUAUAAACAAUUUUACUUAGCCAUACAUAAUUACAUACAUCCAUUCCCAUUUGAUUGAUUCCACAGAGAUACAUAUACUGUCAUUUAACCAAGAACGAAAGUAAAUAAUGCUCUAUAACUACUUUAAAGCAAUGAAAUUUGUUUCUGGAUGAACAUUCAUACCAAUUAGUUUUGUUUCUCAUCAUAUUGAUAAUUACUUCAUACUAAGACAAAUAAGUAAAGUUAGAAGAGGGAUAGGGUUCUUUACCAAAAUCAUUUGCCGAUAACCAACCGUGGAGUCAUGGUUAUACUGCUUUCAUGGCGGAAUUAACGCCAUCAUACGCCAACCUUGUCGGUGUCCCCCCUAUGCUUUAAGGGUUCUCUGUGAGAAUGAAAAGUUGUGAGAAAUAAAUAGGACAGAGAAAAGAGCACGGGUUCAUAGUUAAAGGGAAGUAAAACGGAGAUAGAUGAUCACUAAUUCUUCAAUCCAUCGUGAUAAUCUGUGUUCCUAACCGUGACCCCAACUUCAUCAUCAUGAACCGCCAUCUAGUCACCACCGUGAAUGCAUCUCCAUUGUCGUGAAAGAGAGA